Potamilus streckersoni is the source of this 77-nucleotide non-coding RNA. The record is from the annotation of a GenBank genome assembly. NCBI's taxonomy places the organism in Eukaryota, Metazoa, Mollusca, Bivalvia, Unionida, Unionidae.
GACCGCUCCGGUGGCUUAGUGAUUAGAGCGUCCUCCUUGGAUGAGGGAAGUCGCAGGUUCGAGCCAGGGCCAAGUCA